CCUACGGGAGGCUGCAGUGGGGAAUAUUGCACAAUGGGGGAAACCCUGAUGCAGCGACGCCGCGUGAGUGAAGAAGUAUUUCGGUAUGUAAAGCUCUAUCAGCCGGGAAGAAAAUGACGGUACCUGAUUAAGAAGCCCCGGCUAACUACGUGCCAGCAGCCGCGGUCAUACGUAGGGGGCACGCGUUAUCCGGAUUUAAUGGGUGUAAAGGGAGCGUAGACGGCAGCACAAGUCUGGAGUGAAAUGCCGGGGCUUAACCCCGGAACUGCUUUGGAAACUGUGGAGCUAGAGUGCAGGAGAGGUAAGUGGAAUUCCUAGUGUAGCGGUGACAUGCGUAGAUAUUAGGAGGAACACCAGUGGCGAAGGCGGCCUGCUGGGCUUUUACUGACGCUGAGGCUCGAAAGUGUGGGGAGCAAACAGGAUUAGAUACCCCUGUAGUC
This 440-nucleotide ribosomal RNA is filed under the name uncultured bacterium. RNAcentral's name for it is "partial 16S ribosomal RNA". It matches the Rfam family "Bacterial small subunit ribosomal RNA", at positions 338 to 795 of the family's 1533-position model. The record is from RNAcentral.